This 422-nucleotide ribosomal RNA is filed under the name uncultured Mucilaginibacter sp. Its description in RNAcentral is "bacterial SSU rRNA". It matches the Rfam family "Bacterial small subunit ribosomal RNA", at positions 355 to 774 of the family's 1533-position model. Lineage: Bacteria; Pseudomonadati; Bacteroidota; Sphingobacteriia; Sphingobacteriales; Sphingobacteriaceae. The record is from RNAcentral.
UAAGGAAUAUUGGUCAAUGGGCGCAAGCCUGAACCAGCCAUGCCGCGUGCAGGAAGACGGCCCUACGGGUUGUAAACUGCUUUUAUACGGGAAUAAACCUCACUACGUGUAGUGAGUUGAAUGUACUGUAAGAAUAAGGAUCGGCUAACUCCGUGCCAGCAGCCGCGGUAAUACGGAGGAUCCAAGCGUUAUCCGGAUUUAUUGGGUUUAAAGGGUGCGUAGGCGGCCAAUUAAGUCAGGGGUGAAAGACGGUAGCUUAACUAUCGCAGUGCCUUUGAUACUGAUUGGCUUGAAUGUACUUGAGGUAGGCGGAAUGUGACAAGUAGCGGUGAAAUGCAUAGAUAUGUCACAGAACACCAAUUGCGAAGGCAGCUUACUAAAGUAUGAUUGACGCUGAGGCACGAAAGCGUGGGGAUCAAACA